Molecule: non-coding RNA, 279 nt
Organism: Agelaius phoeniceus (red-winged blackbird)
Lineage: Eukaryota; Metazoa; Chordata; Aves; Passeriformes; Icteridae
Source: RefSeq, a predicted model, not a curated record
AAGAGCUGGAGCUCCAAGAGACGCAAUAAGCGAUUGUGCUUUGAGUCUUGGCAGCGCCAAAUCUGUGAGCAGAGGCUGGUGCAAACAGCAGAGUACAGGGCUACACCUCUUUAACUCCUCUCAGGUUAUGUUAAUUGUGGAUCACAUCAUCUCAUGAAGAAAGAGGGCCUGAGCUCAGGACCUGCGUUUUCCUGUGACCUUGGGUAAAGCAGUUGCCUUUACACAGCUGUAUUUUGACUGUUGUUAAAAUGGAAAUAAAGAUACCUUUUCUCUUUUCAA